ACAUGAGGGUGCAGCUUAUCUGUCUGUCAUGCACUGGGAAUUACGGAGAAGAUACAUUGAAGUGCUUUGGAAGGAAUGGAUGCUGUACUCAGGAAAGAGCAUGGUUUUCCUGUGGCAUAAAAUCUCUAGGUUUGGAAGUUUUAUUCCCUUAGUAAGUCUUUCCUAUACUGUGCUGCCCUGUGGACUGGAGUGUUCGUGUAAUGCAUAGAGUUGAUACCAUUUGUCCGGACUACUUAGUGAAGAGAUUUUCAAGAUUUCUGGGUGGAGGCUGAGCCUGCUAAUAGGGAACACACGCGUUCAAGCCACACCUGUCCCUGUAUGUAGGCAGCACAGCCUCAGGGCCCGCCAGUUUUCCAUGCCGAGCUUCUGUGAUGUUCAAAGUCAGCGCUGAGGUCCCUGCACUCGAUAGAGACAUGCUUAUUUUAUUUUUUCCUUUUCCUGGGAGCCAGACUCUGCCAUUCAUCGCACAAAUUUAUUUCUAAGGACACGUUCCUAGUGUGACAUUUAAAACGGAUCCCGUUUGGGGUUGAUAAUCUUCAGUCAGGCUGGGUACGAUCCUGUGCAGUGGAAUCACUUCGGGUAGCAGCUCACGGCAUUGUGCCUGUUAGAGCCAGAGGCCUUAGGGGUCAGCCAGUCUCAUUUGGCAGAAAAGCUAACACAGGUCAGAGAGCUGCUGCAUAGAGCAGAGCUGGGCUGAGGCGGGGCAACACCUCGCACCCUCUGCUGUCUGAUUUCAUCGGAGAUGUUUGCCCACGUUUGGUGGGGGCACUGAAAAGAGAGAAGAUGUGGCAACUUGUGGCCGUGUCAGAAAGAUGAGCGGCAGGAGCAUGUCCCAGCUGGGGAGCGAGCAUUCUACCGCUGUGGGAAGCACGGGACAGCCAGACUUCUCACAUGAUAAUGGUUCAAGGUUCCUAAAGGCAUGUGAUCCAAGAGACAAGAAGCAGCACUGCUGAGCCUCUUAAAGCCAAGAAGAGGGGUUCAGAAGAAAACAACCCUGCCAACACUUUGAUUUUGGUGUUCUUGCCUCCAGCCCCUGGUAUACAUGUACCUUCUCCCAGUUAUUCAAUGAAACACCCACCUAGGAACUCCUGUGAUGUCAUUUUUUGGAUGUAAUUGAGUUUUCAGAUCAGUUGUGUCAAGAUAAGAAGAUUAUCUGGUGACAAUUUCAGGUGAAGGGGGUCUGGGGGGCGGUCUGGGGAUUACCUGACCACAUAAACCCUUUAAGAGCAGAGAGUAUUUUUCCAUCGGGUUACAGAAGGGGAAGUCAGACAUUUGAAGGAUAUGAAGGAUUUGAUGCACCCUUGCUGACUUGAAGAUGGAGGGGGCCAUGUGGCAAGGAUAUGGGUGGCAUCUAGAUGCUAAGAGCAGCUUCCAGAUGACAGCCAGCGAGGAAGCCAGGACUUUGUGCCACAACCCAAAGGAAUUGAAUUCUGCCAAUAACUAGAACGUGGAAGUGAAUUCACCCCCAGAGCCUUUAGAUAAGAAUUCAGCUUGGCCAAUUGAUGUCAGCCUUGUGAUACUCUGAGCAGGGAACCCAGCCUUGCUGUGCAAAACUUCUGACCUACAAAACCGUGUGCUAAUAAACGAGCAUUGCUUUACGCCGUUCAGUUUGGGGCAGUCGUGGUUUUCUAAUGGAGAACGUCUUCCUGAUCUGAGGGAACCGAGUUCUGAAUUAAAGUGGCAGGUUCCCUUUUUAGCAGAAGCCUACUGUCUGGUGCCAGAACACAUCCAUUGUAUCUUCUUCCUCCAUUUUCAACUGUCAUUGAUUUGCUUACCUGUCUAUUGGCA
This is a long non-coding RNA of Myotis brandtii (Brandt's bat), 1788 nucleotides long. RefSeq lists it as uncharacterized. The record is from RefSeq and is a predicted model, not a curated record. The transcript is spliced from 3 exons. Lineage: Eukaryota; Metazoa; Chordata; Mammalia; Chiroptera; Vespertilionidae.